Non-coding RNA from Drosophila virilis, 1947 nucleotides. The record is from RefSeq and is a predicted model, not a curated record. NCBI's taxonomy places the organism in Eukaryota, Metazoa, Arthropoda, Insecta, Diptera, Drosophilidae.
GAGGGUUAAAGGUAUCCCCUAGUCGGGAGCUCCCGACUAGAAUCUCUUACUUGUUCAAUUUGAGUUUCAGGAAAAAGUCGAAAAAUGUAGAGUAUGUUACCUAAGCCUAAACACUUCGCUGAGUUAAAUUCCGCGUUUUCCUGUGUCCGACUUACUUAACUUACCACUUAAGUUUCUUGGAGCACGACUGAUUUUGCCACAAAAUUUAUGGUGCGUGAGAUAGAAGGAGGUGAUCUUUCAUCCAAAGUGUCAUGUAAGACAUGUUUGAUAAGCAAAACACACGUGUUGUACGUGCAUUUUCUAAUUCAUCGGGAAAUAGAGCCAGUAAACUUUUCGCGCUAGUUCAUUCGGAUGUGCGUAGACUUUUUGAGACCAGAUCAAUAGCGCAUUUGAUGGAGAGUGGUAGACGAGUAACGUGUAUUCGUAGCGACAAUGAGCGUGAAUACGUGAACAACACGUUUGAGGAGUAUCUCAAUAAUAAAGAUAUAGCACGACAACUGACAAUACCGUAUUCGCCGCAGCAGAAAGAAGUGGUUGAAAGGGCGAACCGAACAUUGGUUGUAAUGUCAGGAUGCCUGCUUGUACAUUCUGCUUUGAAGGAGUCUUUUAUAGGCGAAGGCACUAUUCAGAGCGGUUAGAAAUAUGACGCCAAUAGAAGUAUGGAAUGUUAAAGAACCCUCCAUUUGUCACUUUAAUGUUGGGAUAAUAACAAAACUAUCGGAUAUGCGAGCAAUUAAAAAGUAUAUCGUUUGUAUAAUUCAAACUCUGGACAAGUGAUCGAGCAGAGGGAUGCUCUGUUCGAUAAGCAAUACAGCAGUGAACUGUACGAUACUGGAGCCAUUACAUUUGAUCUUACAACGACGAAUAUCAACGUCGGAAUAAAAAAUGACAGCAGCAGCGACAAUUUAAUGAGUGCACUCAAGGUACCAGGUUUGGGACCAGGUAGACAAAAAUUAGUUCGCUAUGGAAAGCGAGGACGAACCAAGAAGCAGUACAGUAUUCUUGGCGCUUUGGUAAGUACCACGAAUACCUACAUGCUACGAGUCUAUUAGGUGUUCCAAAGGUUCACUUGACAAUGAACAUAGAAUACGACCCUCUGAUGUUGAAUACAACUAUGCGCAUUAUCAAUAAAGAUCAGCACUUUGUUAAAGUAUCAGGUGUUGAUCAAAAUUGAUCCUUGAUUGCACCAGCAUAAGAAAGAUAGUCGCAAUGAAUAAUAAAUGAAUACGUGAUUUGUUUUGUCGACAAAGCAAUGAAAACUGCACGCCUUUGGAUGCUGGAUACCAAAAUGUUUUCAUAAAUAAGGAGUGUAGCAAAGUGAAUGCGUCGCAAUACCAAUCAUUUAUGGAGAAACUAAUGUGGCUGACGACGAUUAGGCCGGACAUUUUGCACUCAGUAACAAAAUUAACGCAGUGCAAUAGGGAACCACAUAGCUAACACCUUGCAGGCGUUAAACAUGCUCUAAGGUAUCUGGCAUCAAUAACACUUGAAGCUGCACUACAAAGAAAAAAUAAAUCUUGUAUAUUGCAUGGCUUUCGAGUAGUAGCGUAGCGCGACAUACAUUUGUAUAAUUAGUCGCCCAUACAUUUGAAAGUGACGCAAAAUCUCUUGGCUGACUUCUCAUCUGGCUUUCCCCACUUAACCAGACAUGCCAGCCGACUGACUUGUCCGCUCUCCAAAAGCCAGACGAACGACUUAUACAAAAUGCAUUCAUAUGUAAAUACAAUUUGGGGAAGGUCAUGGUCAGCGCUAAAAAACUAAUAAAAUGUAUUAUUUUGUCGGUAACAGUCCAAGCAGUAGUGCAUAACAAUACACUCAAUUAUGCUGUUAUGUAUAAACACACAUACAAACAUAAUUGCCUGCAAGGGUCUUACAUUCUAUUUUUGGCUUUUUCGGUCUUUCAGUCGGGAAAGCGCAAUGAUACUGAAUUCGUAUUUGUUCCCAAUU